RNAcentral lists this ribosomal RNA (492 nucleotides) under uncultured bacterium. RNAcentral describes it as "partial 16S ribosomal RNA". It matches the Rfam family "Bacterial small subunit ribosomal RNA", at positions 29 to 507 of the family's 1533-position model. The record is from RNAcentral.
AGUGAACGCUGGCGGUAGGCCUAACACAUGCAAGUCGAACGGCAGCACAGUAAGAGCUUGCUCUUACGGGUGGCGAGUGGCGGACGGGUGAGGAAUACAUCGGAAUCUACUUUUUCGUGGGGGGUAACGUAGGGAAACUUACGCUAAUACCGCAUACGACCUACGGGUGAAAGCAGGGGAUCUUCGGACCUUGCGCGAUUGAAUGAGCCGAUGUCGGAUUAGCUAGUUGGCGGGGUAAAGGCCCACCAAGGCGACGAUCCGUAGCUGGUCUGAGAGGAUGAUCAGCCACACUGGAACUGAGACACGGUCCGGACUCCUACGGAAGGCAGCAGUGGGGAAUAUUGGACAAUGGGCGCAAGCCUGAUCCAGCCGUACCGCGUGGGUGAAGAAGACCUUCGGGUUGUAAAGCCCUUUUGUUGGGAAAGAAAAGCAGCAGGUUAAUACCCCGCUGUUCUGACGGUACCCAAAGAAUAAGCACCGGCUAACUUCGUG